Molecule: ribosomal RNA, 646 nt
Filed under: uncultured bacterium
Lineage: Bacteria
Description: bacterial SSU rRNA
Rfam family: Bacterial small subunit ribosomal RNA
Source: RNAcentral
AUAACAGCUGGAAACGGCUGCUAAUACCGCAUAAGCGCACAGAGCUGCAUGGCUCAGUGUGAAAAACUCCGGUGGUAUGGGAUGGGCCCGCGUCUGAUUAGGCAGUUGGCGGGGUAACGGCCCACCAAACCGACGAUCAGUAGCCGGCCUGAGAGGGCGACCGGCCACAUUGGGACUGAGACACGGCCCAAACUCCUACGGGAGGCAGCAGUGGGGAAUAUUGCACAAUGGGGGAAACCCUGAUGCAGCGACGCCGCGUGAGCGAAGAAGUAUUUCGGUAUGUAAAGCUCUAUCAGCAGGGAAGAUAAUGACGGUACCUGACUAAGAAGCCCCGGCUAACUACGUGCCAGCAGCCGCGGUAAUACGUAGGGGGCAAGCGUUAUCCGGAUUUACUGGGUGUAAAGGGAGCGUAGACGGCAAGGCAAGUCUGAUGUGAAAACCCAGGGCUUAACCCUGGGACUGCAUUGGAAACUGUCUGGCUCGAGUGCCGGAGAGGUAAGCGGAAUUCCUAGUGUAGCGGUGAAAUGCGUAGAUAUUAGGAAGAACACCAGUGGCGAAGGCGGCUUACUGGACGGUAACUGACGUUGAGGCUCGAAAGCGUGGGGAGCAAACAGGAUUAGAUACCCUGGUAGUCCACGCCGUAAAC